AAAGUUUCAACAAGAGCGUACGGGGGAUGCCUUGACUGACAAAAGCGAAGAAGGACGUGGCAAUGCUGCGAUAAGCUCGGGACAGAUGCAUAGCAAUCGUUAUUAUCCCGAGAUCUCCGAAUGGGGAAACCCUACAGAGUAAACCUCUGUAAUCUUUUAUACAUAAGUGAUAAAAGAAGCGAACCUAGGGAAGUGAAACAUCUCAGUACCUAGAGGAACAGAAACUAAAAAAAGCAUUUCGCAAGUAGCGGCGAGCGAAAACGAAGAAGCCCAAACCCAUGAAAUUUUAUUUUUUGGGGGUUGUAGGAUAUAAAUGUCUUAACGAGUGUAGUCAAAAAUUAUUUUGUUAGAAGAACAAGCUGGGAAGCUUGACCAUAGAAGGUAAUAGUCCUGUAAACGAAAACAUUAUAACUACAUUAUUUAUAUUCCUGAGUAGCCCAGGACAUCAAUAGCCGGGGUGAAUCUAGCAGGACUAACUGCUAAGGCUAAAUAUUUUGUCAGAUCGAUAGUGAACAAGUACCGUGAGGGAAAGGUGAAAAGAACCCCGGAAGGGGAGUGAAAUAGACCUGAAACCGUAUGCUUACAAGGAGUCAGAGCGGAAUUUAUUCCGUCAUGGCGUGCCUAUUGAAGAAUGAGCCAACGAGUUUGUGUAUGCAGCAGCUUAAGUUACUUUGUAACGCAGGCAAAGGGAAACCGAGUGUUAAUAGCGCGAAAUUAAGUUGUAUACAUAAGACCCGAAGCUGAGUGAGCUUGCCAUGAGCAGGUUGAACCUUAUUGAAAAAUAAGGGGAGGACCGAACCCACGCGCGGGCAACACGCGGGGAUGACUUGUGGUAAGGAGUGAAAAGCUAACCGAACUCAGUAAUAGCUGGUUCUCUCCGAAACAGUUUUAGGACUGGCGUUGAAUGUUCCUGGUGGGGGUAGAGCACUGGAAGGAAAAGAUAGGGGGAAACCUCGCUUUUCCUAUCAAACUCCGAAUACCAUUCAGUUAAUAAUUCAGCAGUUAGACUCAGGGGGCGAAGCUCCUGUGGUCGAAAGGGAAACAGCCCAGACCUAAACCUAAGGUCCCUAAAUAUAUACUAAGUGCACUUAAGGUGGUUUUAUUUCUUAAACAUCCAGGAGGUUGGCUUAGAAGCAGCCAUCCUUUAAAGAUAGCGUAACAGCUCACUGGCCAAGAGAUUUAGCGCCGCAAAUGAUCGGGGCUCAAGUAUAUUACCGAAGGUUAGGAUUUUAUAUCUUAUUUAUAAUUUAUAAAGUGGUAGGAGAGCGUUCUGUUCUGCAAUGAAGCCAAAGGCGUAAGCCAUGGUGGAGCGUACAGAAGUGAGAAUGUUGGCACGAGUAACCGCAAGGAGGGUGAGAACCCCUCCCGCCGAAAUACCAAGGGUUCCUUUUCAAUGCUUGUCAGAGAAGGGUUAGUCGGUCCUAAGCCGAUGGCGAAAGCCGUAGGUGAUGGAGAUAGGGUUAAUAUUCCCUAACUUCUAUAUUUUUCGAUGGAGUGACGGAGGAAAUAGGUCAAAGCACAUUAUUGGAUUUGUGUUUCUGCUGAUGAGAUUUGUAUUUUAGGAAAAUCCGGAAUACACAAGAAUCGUUCAGUGGAUAGUAAUUUUGAACAAGAGCCUUCCAAGAAAAACUUCUAAGGUUAAAUUUAUAGAAACCGUACCCGAAACCAACACAGGUGGUAUAGUCGAGAAGACUAAGGCGAACGAGUGAUUAAUCCUCAAGGAACUCGGCAAAAAAGCAGCCGUAACUUCGGGAUAAGGCUUGCCUACUCAACUUCGGUUGAGAGGCCGCAGCGAAAGACACCCUGCCGACUGUUUAUCAAAAACACAGCUCCGUGCGAACUCGUAAGAGGAUGUAUACGGGGUGACGCCUGACCAAUGCCGGAAGGUUAAAUAUUGGCGGUGAUUAAAUUUUUAAUUUGAUUGCUGAUUGAUAUAAGCCCCGGUCAAUGUCGGCCGUAACUAUAACGGUCCUAAGGUAGCGAAAUUCCUUGUCGGGUAAGUUCCGACGUGCACGAAUGGCGUAACGAGUGGGGUACUGUCUCGAGGAUUAGCUCGGUGAAAAUGCAAUGCCGGUGAAGACGCCGGCUACCUGCAGUGGGACGAAAAGACCCCAGGAGCUUUACUACAGCUUGAUAUUGGGCUUAUGUGAAUUCUGCGCAGCAUAGGUGGGAGACUUUGAGCAUACGAUUUUGGUUGUAUGUGAGUCGUCAGUGAGAUACCACCCUUAAUUUGCGUAAGUUCUAACCUUCAAGGCAAAAACUUGAAGGAACAGUAUCUGGUAGGUAGUUUUAGUGGGGCGCUACCCUCCUAAAGAGUAACGGAGGGGCUUAAAGGUUAGUUAGGCGCGAAUGGAAACCGUGCCGAUAGUGUAAUGGCAUAAACUAGCUUAACUGCAACGGGUACGUCCGGAGCAGAUACGAAAGUAGAACAUAGUGAACCGAUGGUAGGUUUUAGAUACUGCCGGAGAUUAACGGAUAAAAGCUACCCUGGGGAUAACAGGCUGGUAUCGCCUAAGAGUUCAAAUCGACGGCGAUGUUCGGCACCUCGAUGUCGGCUCAUCCUAUCCUGGGGCUGGAGAAGGUCCCAAGGGUUUGGCUGUUCGCCAAUUAAAAGGGUACGCGAGCUGGGUUCAGACCGUUGAGUACAGAAUAUUUUAUAUUGUGUACUCAACAAAUCUGAACCCCAUUGAGAGUUAUCGAUACCAAAAUCAUAAUAUUGUAGCAUUUAUCAAAAUAUUAAGUCUUUUCGUUUUUAAACACACAAACAAUUAAAAUAAUAAUCAUUUACAAAUUUAUCAUUUACCAAGAUAAAUUUGACAUUCACGGCGGUCUGGAAGAGUAAUCUUCUAAGAAUAAAUUUAGCUUAUAUCGGAAAAGUCCUACUUAAAAACUUUAAAUUUUUAAGGGAUAAUUCCGAGGGAACUUUGCUUGCAAAGACCCGUAGAGACUAAGCGCUAAAGUCCAUUAAAUUGGAAUAAACUAUAGUCCGUACACAUAGUAAUAUGUGAAAAGGUAUGCGUGAGACAGGUUGGUUAUUAUCUACUGCAGGCGUCGAAUUUUGAGAAGAUCUGCCCCUAGUACGAGAGGACCGGGGUGGACUGACCUCUGGUGUACCAGUUGUUCCGCCAGGAGCACUGCUGGGUAGCUAUGUUGGGAAUGGAUAAGUUCUGAAAGCAUCUAAGAACGAAGCCAACUUCGAGAUUAAAAUUCAUUUGAAAUCCCUGAGAGAUGAUCAGGUUGAUAGGCUUUAAGUGUAAGUACAGAAAUGUAUUUAGCUGAGAAGUACUAAUUCAUUGAGAAAUUUU
Molecule: ribosomal RNA, 3305 nt
Filed under: Candidatus Campbelliibacteriota bacterium
Lineage: Bacteria; Candidatus Campbelliibacteriota
Description: bacterial LSU rRNA
Rfam family: Bacterial large subunit ribosomal RNA
Source: RNAcentral